This is a long non-coding RNA of Pseudophryne corroboree (corroboree frog), 598 nucleotides long. RefSeq lists it as uncharacterized. NCBI's taxonomy places the organism in Eukaryota, Metazoa, Chordata, Amphibia, Anura, Myobatrachidae. The transcript is spliced from 4 exons. The record is from RefSeq and is a predicted model, not a curated record.
UAUAAUCGCAACUGCAUACAGCAGAAGAUAACAUCAGCAAGAACAACUACGCCUGAAUGAGCCUCCAUAUGCUGCCAGGCAUCCAAGAACCUCUCCAAUAUUCUCUGCGGAGUGCGGUCAUGUUGGCCAAAGAUCUUACAGCAUGAGAUCAACACAAACAACCAAGAGUGAGAGUGCCGGGAUCAGGACAUCGUCAUGCAGUGAGUGCUGUCGUUCCCCUGGGGUCGUGUCUACCUCUGUAAAGCACUGGGCUGCACCUUGUGCCCUGAUGGUACUUGCCAAUCACCCUUUCACUACUGCGUGCACUUGCAAGUAGGAGACUUGCCAUACGAGAUUUGUGAGGCUAAUGGACAAUUCCGGGAGGCAAGUACAGGACGCGCAGAAAUCAGGAUGGUGGCGGAGGGAAAAGGCAAGAAUCCAACCAAAGCUAUUAAAUACUGGUCUGUUCAGCCAUCAGGGCCUGGAAGAUGUGAAACCUGAAAACUAGCAAUGGCAGAAGUCGCCUCUUUCUGUAUAAUCAGUUGUCUGAGUGUUUCCUCAUUUGCAUUUGGCGAGUUUAUGCUGUUUCCAAAAGGAUAAUAAAUCUUGUUUUUUUGUU